This is a non-coding RNA of Cinara cedri, 290 nucleotides long. The record is from the annotation of a GenBank genome assembly. Lineage: Eukaryota; Metazoa; Arthropoda; Insecta; Hemiptera; Aphididae.
GCCUGUGUUCAACCAUGUUUCAUCUAGGUAAUAUAUUUGUCUACCUAACUGACGGUAAUGUCUCAUAGUUUCUAGAUAUCUUCGGCGCCAACACACUAUAUCAUUCCGUUCGAUUAAAAAGCUAUUACGAGACUUACGGACAUACUCGAAAUUCAGAUGUUUCGUUGGACGGUUGGGCCAAAACUGAACAAGAACGCUCACAGUCCGUUGUCCGAUACCACAUUCUUCAGAUAUUUGUUUUAUAGUUUCCUCCGCAGUCAAUUUUGGCCCAUCUCCAAUUCCCUGCAGUG